CCUACGGGAGGCUGCAGUGAGGAAUAUUGGUCAAUGGCCGUAAGGCUGAACCAGCCAAGUCGCGUGAAGGAAGAAGGAUCUAUGGUUUGUAAACUUCUUUUAUAGGGGAAUAAAGGUAUCCACGUGUGGAUUUUUGCAUGUACCCUAUGAAUAAGCAUCGGCUAACUCCGUGCCAGCAGCCGCGGUAAUACGGAGGAUGCGAGCGUUAUCCGGAUUUAGUGGGUUUAAAGGGUCCGUAGGUUGUUUUUUAAGUCAGCGGUGAAAGUAUGUGGCUCAACCAUAAAAUUGCCGUUGAAACUGGGAGACUUGAGUGUGUUUGAGGUAGGCGGAAUGCGUGGUGUAGCGGUGAAAUGCGUAGAGAUCACGAAGAACUCCGAUUGCGAAGGCAGCUUACUAAGCCAUAACUGACACUGAAGCACGAAAGCGUGGGGAUCAAACAGGAUUAGAUACCCCAGUAGUC
Molecule: ribosomal RNA, 460 nt
Filed under: uncultured bacterium
Lineage: Bacteria
Description: partial 16S ribosomal RNA
Rfam family: Bacterial small subunit ribosomal RNA
Source: RNAcentral